RNAcentral lists this ribosomal RNA (237 nucleotides) under uncultured bacterium. Its description in RNAcentral is "partial 16S ribosomal RNA". It matches the Rfam family "Bacterial small subunit ribosomal RNA", at positions 99 to 334 of the family's 1533-position model. The record is from RNAcentral.
CGAAUGGGUGAGUAACGCGUGAGGAACCUGCCUCAAAGAGGGGGACAACAGUUGGAAACGACUGCUAAUACCGCAUAAGCCCACGGGUCGGCAUCGACCUGAGGGAAAAGGAGCAAUCCGCUUUGAGAUGGCCUCGCGUCCGAUUAGCUAGUUGGUGAGGUAACGGCCCACCAAGGCGACGAUCGGUAGCCGGACUGAGAGGUUGAACGGCCACAUUGGGACUGAGACACGGCCCAG